RNAcentral lists this unclassified non-coding RNA (1053 nucleotides) under Hevea brasiliensis (rubber tree). The record is from RNAcentral. Lineage: Eukaryota; Viridiplantae; Streptophyta; Magnoliopsida; Malpighiales; Euphorbiaceae.
UGGAACUAUGGGAGUGUGUUGAAGUACCAGAGUGAGGUCAAGCAGAAGAUUUCAAUGGAUUUCAUGCAUGAGCUUGGCUCUUCUCUUGGGACGGUAAGGGUUCCAGGGAUUGGUUUACUCUACAAUGAGCUGGUUCAAGGCAUUCCCUCUAUUUUUGCGCAGUUUCUAUUAGAUCUUCCAGCUAUUCACUCUGUAAUAGUCUUUGUCUGCAUCAAAUAUGUGCCAGUACCUGUUGUCCCUCAGGAAGAAAGGUUCUUGUUUAGAAGGGUUGGUCCGAAGGACUAUCAUAUGUUCCGUUGUGUAGCAAGAUAUGGCUAUAAAGAUGUCAGAAAAGAGGAUCAUCAUGCAUUUGAGCAACUUUUGGUAGAUAGCCUUGAGAAGUUUCUAAGAAAGGAGGCCCUGGAUGUUGCUUUGGAAAUCAACCUGAAUCAACGAGACCUUGAUAGCAUUUCUGUGAGGUCAAGGGAUGAGUCUGAAAUACCAGAUGGUGGUGGUGAUGGUGAUGGGAUAGACGAGCUUAAGAUUCCAUUAAUGCGUGAUCAAAGAUUGGAAACUUCAGGGGCAUCAACAUCAGAAGCAUCCGUGACGUUACCAGCCAGUGUUAUGCCAGUUGAUGAAGAUCCUAGUCUGGAAUAUGAGCUCUCUGCUCUCCGAGAAGCCACAGAAUCUGGAUUUACAUACUUGCUUGGACACGGGGACGUGAGGGCAAAGAAAAACUCUUGGUUCAUCAAGAAAUUGAGCAUAAAUUACUUCUAUGCAUUCAUGAGGAAGAAUUGUAGAGGAGGUGCUGCAACGAUGCGUGUUCCUCACAUGAAUAUUAUCCAAGUAGGAAUGACAUACAUGGUUUGAUCUUGGUGUCACAUAGCUACUUGUAUAAUUGCUGUAUUACAAUUUCUUGAUGCCAAAAUUUUCAAGGCAUAAAAGAAAGCAUGAUGUUUCAACAACAUAUCACACUCUUGCAUGUUCAACUUAUUUUCUAUUAAUUAUUUUCUGAUCAUGGAUGUACUACCAUCUUCCUGUAUACCAUCUUCCUGUAUAUCAUUUUGCUGUAAA